This 253-nucleotide ribosomal RNA is filed under the name uncultured bacterium. RNAcentral's name for it is "partial 16S ribosomal RNA". It matches the Rfam family "Bacterial small subunit ribosomal RNA", at positions 524 to 776 of the family's 1533-position model. The record is from RNAcentral.
UACGAAGGGGGCUAGCGUUGUUCGGAUUUACUGGGCGUAAAGCGCACGUAGGCGGUUAUUUAAGUCAGAGGUGAAAUCCCAGGGCUCAACCCUGGAACUGCCUUUGAUACUGGAUAUCUAGAGUAUGGAAGAGGUGAGUGGAAUUCCGAGUGUAGAGGUGAAAUUCGUAGAUAUUCGGAGGAACACCAGUGGCGAAGGCGGCUCACUGGUCAAUUAUUGACGCUGAGGUGCGAAAGCGUGGGGAGCAACCAGG